AUUCCUUUUCUAUUCUUCAGCAUGUAGAUGAUGAAGCUUUACCUAGUGUAGUUGCACAUUGCUAUGUCAACACAAUGCCUUGAUGAUUCUACUAGAUUAGCAUAUUUCUUUGAUAAAAGCAAUAGAGUUAGCACAUCAUGCUUUGCAUGUUGCACACUUAUGGCAGCUUGAUUUGGAGAAACAGAAAGAAGAGGCGGAAGCAGAUGGUGGAGCUCAGGCAGUAGAGGGGCCGAUCUCAUCAUGAUGGUAGAGGGGCAAACAGAGAUCAAUCAGUCAUCCCAAGCUAACAAGAGAGCUGGGAUACAAAGUAAGAAAACAAGUGGAAAAUGAAGAUUCUCUUUUGGAACAUCAGAGGGCUGGGAGGGGCAGGAAGAAGAAGAUAUCUAGUAGAGUUGUGCUAGCAGUACAAUUUUCAAUGUGUCUGUCUACAAGAGACUAUUAAAGCAACCUACAAUGCAGGGAACUUGACAUUUUUAGUAGAUGGUUUAAUUUGCAUUGGAACUGGGUACCAAAGGGGGCAUUCAGGAGUUGCUGAUGGGUGUCUCCAAGUAUGUAGUAGAAGUGUUGCAAGAAGACCAGGGAGAUUUCUUUCACAACAUGAGGCUUAAGAGGGUGAUGACUCUAUCAAAUAGGAACUCAUAUAAUGUGUAUGGUCCAAUGUAGGAUGAGAAGGAAAAUGGAGCUUCUUUUGAAGCUAAAUACUUGGGACUGCCUACUCCAUCGGGCAGGAUGAAAGGUAACCGGUUUCAGCCGUUGAAAGAGAGAAUGGGAAAGCGCUUGAAGGAUUACACGGAGAAAAAUAUAUCGCCGGCAGCAAAGGAAAUCCUCAUCAAAUCGGGCUUUGGGAGGGCCCAUGGUGCAAAGGUGACAGAGCACACACCCCUGCUCCAUUGCUCUAGCUACGACACGAUCCCCGGGCGGCUUCCUUGAUCUGACUACCUACAACCAAGGAGAAACAAAAAGUCCAGCAAGCAACAACCUGAAAGGAUGAGUCGUGAGAUCGCAAAAGAUCUUGCUGACAAGUUAGUGGAGAUACGGAAAGAUAAUCUUAAAUGGUAUGACACCAAGACCAAACUCCAUGAACGGAAUCCAGAUGGAUACACAAAACCAAAACAGGCAGUUGUUGGUGGUGUUGUCAGGUCUUACAAGUUUAGCUAUGAAGAGGGAAAGGAGAUAGCUCAAGGCUCUAUGAAAAUUAUGUUCAGUAUAGAUGCAUCUUGCGAAUGUGAUGUAGCUAUGAAGAGGGAAAGGAGAUAGCUCAACGCUCUAUGAAAAUUAUGUUCAGUAUAGAUGCAUCUUGCGAAUGUGAUGUGAUCACAUCACAUUCGCAAGAGAAUGUGAUGUGAUCGUGAUGUGAUCACAUCACAUUCGCAAGAGAAUGUGAUGUGAUCACAUCACAUUCGCAAGAUGCAUCUAUACUGAACAUAAUUUUCAUAGAGUCUUGAGCUAUCUCCUUUCCCUCUUCAUAGCUAAACUUGUAAGACCUGACAACACCACCAACAACU
This is a long non-coding RNA of Panicum hallii, 1505 nucleotides long. RefSeq lists it as uncharacterized. Lineage: Eukaryota; Viridiplantae; Streptophyta; Magnoliopsida; Poales; Poaceae. The record is from RefSeq and is a predicted model, not a curated record. The transcript has 4 exons.